ACCGAGAGCGCGGCCAACCAACAAGCGUCGAAGCCGCCGCGUUGGCUCAGCCCUGCUUGCCCCGCGCAGCCACGGUCGGUUGGGCUCUGCCAAGAAAACGGCCAGAACGACCCUGAUCAGCUUUGCGAGUGGAAUCACGAAACAGAACUACAGGAGAAGUGCUCUUCGCUAAGCAUACUCUACAUGAUAACCAUACAACGGGACAGAGGAGGACAGAGAGACGUGGCAGCUAGCACUGCAGCUCUAGAAGAAGCUGCUGAACUGGUUGGUCAGCGAGUCCUUGAGGUUGGAGAAGAGCCCGAACAGGGAGUACUGCCGGAGCUUGGACACCUCGUACCACGAGUUGAGCACGGCCUCGUGCCUGUCCGUGCCGGAGAACGCGAGCUGGAUCCCGGGGCUGCACUCCACCUGCCCGCCCUUGCCCCUGCAGCUCGCCGUCCUGACCGCGCAGCUGCCGUCCACGCACGCGAAGUCGGAGCGCCCGGAGCACGACGAGCACCCGCCGGCCUUCCAGAACAGGUUCUGGAGCGUGCCCUUCUGGAACUCCAGGACCUGAAGCGCGACGCAAGACGGGUCGUCGGAGGCUCGGUUAGCCAAGUCAAUUUUUUAUCCCUUUUUGAUUGAGGAGCUGCGUGUGGGCGUACGUACCAGGGUGAAGCCGGUCACCGUGUACGAGAUGUUGCCGACGAACACAGGGGGUGACCUCGCUGCGUAUUUCUUCCCGGCGAAAGCCACCAUGUACACACCAGAAGAAGACUGGAACAGGGC
This 768-nucleotide unclassified non-coding RNA is filed under the name Zea mays. RNAcentral describes it as "misc RNA Zm00001eb213340". The record is from RNAcentral. Lineage: Eukaryota; Viridiplantae; Streptophyta; Magnoliopsida; Poales; Poaceae.